AAAGAUUAUGCAUUUCAUCAGUCAUUACUUGUUUUGAUGUGUUCAUCAAUGAACUGACUUCUUCGGGAUCAACAUGAGCAAUGGAAACGCCAUCCAGUGAAGCCAUCCAGAAGUUGCAAGCAACACUCUAUGGCCAGAAUCUGUGAUUAUAAUUGAGAAUGAAAGUGAAUUCAGCACAGAAAUGAUCGAGGAUAAUUCAUUGGUCUCUGAGGGCAAAAUAGAUGGCGCGAUGAAGUCGCUGUUGGACAGAUUUGAGGGCGACGAUGAGAGGAAAAGUUUCCGAGGCCACAACUAAAGUCUAAAGUUUCUAGUUCUGAGUGGUCGGCAACAUAUAUACACUG
Molecule: long non-coding RNA, 341 nt
Organism: Juglans regia (Persian walnut)
Lineage: Eukaryota; Viridiplantae; Streptophyta; Magnoliopsida; Fagales; Juglandaceae
Exons: 3
Source: RefSeq, a predicted model, not a curated record